This 223-nucleotide ribosomal RNA is filed under the name uncultured bacterium. RNAcentral describes it as "partial 16S ribosomal RNA". It matches the Rfam family "Bacterial small subunit ribosomal RNA", at positions 116 to 334 of the family's 1533-position model. The record is from RNAcentral.
CGUAGGUAACCUGCCUUGUAGCGGGGGAUAACUAUUGGAAACGAUAGCUAAUACCGCAUAACAAUGGAUGACACAUGCCAUUUAUUUGAAAGGGGCAAUUGCUCCACUACAAGAUGGACCUGCGUUGUAUUAGCUAGUAGGUGAGGUAACGGCUCACCUAGGCGACGAUACAUAGCCGACCUGAGAGGGUGAUCGGCCACACUGGGACUGAGACACGGCCCAG